Molecule: ribosomal RNA, 233 nt
Filed under: uncultured bacterium
Lineage: Bacteria
Description: partial 16S ribosomal RNA
Rfam family: Bacterial small subunit ribosomal RNA
Source: RNAcentral
CGGGGUGGAGUAACGCGUGGAUAACCUGCCUCACACUGGGGGAUAACAGUUAGAAAUGGCUGCUAAUACCGCAUAAGCGCACAGUACCGCAUGGUACGGUGUGAAAAACCCAGGUGGUGUGAGAUGGAUCCGCGUCUGAUUAGCCAGUUGGCGGGGUAACGGCCCACCAAAGCGACGAUCAGUAGCCGACCUGAGAGGGUGACCGGCCACAUUGGGACUGAGACACGGCCCAA